This is a non-coding RNA of Paramuricea clavata, 77 nucleotides long. Lineage: Eukaryota; Metazoa; Cnidaria; Anthozoa; Malacalcyonacea; Plexauridae. The record is from the annotation of a GenBank genome assembly.
UGAUGGAUCCGAUGGAUCUGGUGGAUCUGAUGGAUCCAUCGGAUCCAUCAGGUCCAUCAGAUCCAUCGGAUCCAUCG